GUGCCAGCAGCCGCGGUAAAACCAGCACCUCAAGUGGUCAGGAGGAUUAUUGGGCCUAAAGCAUCCGUAGCCUGCUUUGUAUGUUUUCGGUUAAAUCCAUCAGCUCAACUGAUGGGCCGCCGAAAAAACUGCAAAGCUAGGGAGUGGGAGAGGUAGACGGUACUCGAUAGGAAGGGGUAAAAUCCUUUGAUCUAUUGAUGACCCCCUGUGGCGAAGGCGGUCUACCAGAACACGUUCGACGGUGAGGGAUGAAAGCUGGGGGAGCAAACCGGAUUAGAUACCCGGGUAGUCCCAGCUGUAAACGAUGCAGACUCGGUGAUGCCCUGGCUUGUGGCCAGUGCAGUGCCGCAGGGAAGCCGUUAAGUUUGCCGCCUGGGAAGUACGUACGCAAGUAUGAAACUUAAAGGAAUUGGCGGGGGAGCACCACAAGGGGUGAAGCCUGCGGUUCAAUUGGAGUCAACGCCAGAAAUCUUACCCGAAGAGACAGCAGAAUGAAGGUCAAGCUGGAGACUUUACCAGACAAGCUGAGAAGUGGUGCAUGGCCGUCGCCAGCUCGUGCCGUGAGAUGUCCUGUUAAGUCAGGUAACGAGCGAGAUCCCUGCCUCUAGUUGCCACCAUUACUCUCAGGAGUAGUGGGGCGAAUUAGAGGGACCGCCACAGUUAAUGUGGAGGAAGGAAGGGGCCACGGCAGGUCAGUAUGCCCUGAAACUUUGGGGCCACACGCGGGCUGCAAUGGUAGUGACAAUGAGUUUCCGAAUCCGAAAGGAGGAGGCAAUCCUCAAACGCUACCACAGUUAUGAUUGAGGGCUGCAACUCGCCCUCAUGAAUAUGGAAUCCCUAGUAACCGCGUGUCAUUACCGCGCAGUGAAUACGUCCCUGCUCCUUGCACACACUGCCCGUC
RNAcentral lists this ribosomal RNA (901 nucleotides) under uncultured archaeon. Its description in RNAcentral is "bacterial SSU rRNA". It matches the Rfam family "Archaeal small subunit ribosomal RNA", at positions 455 to 1354 of the family's 1478-position model. The record is from RNAcentral.